UACGAAGGGGGCUAGCGUUGCUCGGAAUCACUGGGCGUAAAGCGCACGUAGGCGGAUUGUUAAGUCAGGGGUGAAAUCCUGGAGCUCAACUCCAGAACUGCCUUUGAUACUGGCGAUCUUGAGUCCGGGAGAGGUGAGUGGAACUGCGAGUGUAGAGGUGAAAUUCGUAGAUAUUCGCAAGAACACCAGUGGCGAAGGCGGCUCACUGGCCCGGUACUGACGCUGAGGUGCGAAAGCGUGGGGAUCAAACAGG
RNAcentral lists this ribosomal RNA (253 nucleotides) under uncultured bacterium. RNAcentral's name for it is "partial 16S ribosomal RNA". It matches the Rfam family "Bacterial small subunit ribosomal RNA", at positions 524 to 776 of the family's 1533-position model. The record is from RNAcentral.